UUCGUUAUUUGGUUCAUUAAUUAUUUCUUCUGUUUUUUCUCUAUUCCCUUCCCCGAAGUGUUGGUUUUCUUCUGCAAUGAUAUAUGGUUUUGCCUCGUCUUCGUUGUUUUUUUGGGUGUUUGAUUUUGAUUUAGGGGGUGAUUGGUGAUAAAUGAUGGCAAUUUUGAGUCUACAGUCCUUCCACUUUUCCUUUCAGAUUUAGACGAUUGCAACGAUG
RNAcentral lists this long non-coding RNA (217 nucleotides) under Panax ginseng (ginseng). Its description in RNAcentral is "long non-coding RNA (PGIN_LNC003927)". Lineage: Eukaryota; Viridiplantae; Streptophyta; Magnoliopsida; Apiales; Araliaceae. The record is from RNAcentral.